Molecule: ribosomal RNA, 207 nt
Filed under: uncultured bacterium
Lineage: Bacteria
Description: partial 16S ribosomal RNA
Rfam family: Bacterial small subunit ribosomal RNA
Source: RNAcentral
UGCGUAGGCGGAUGGACAAGUUAGAUGUAAAAUCUCUGGGCUCAACCUAGAGUUUGCAUUUAAGACUGUUUGUCUUGAGUAUAGGAGAGGGCAGAGGAAUUUCCGGUGUAGCGGUGAAAUGCGUAGAUAUCGGAAAGAACAUCAGUGGUGAAGACGUCUGCCUGGCCUAUAACUGACGCUGAGGCACGAAAGCGUGGGUAGCGAACA